RNAcentral lists this non-coding RNA (30 nucleotides) under Mus musculus (house mouse). The record is from RNAcentral. Lineage: Eukaryota; Metazoa; Chordata; Mammalia; Rodentia; Muridae.
UGCUCAGCUCAGGUUUUGUUUAGAUCCUAC